AGUGCCACUGGCGAAAUCAUAGCUCUCACUGCACUCCACCUCAUGGGCUCAGAUGAUCCUCCCGCCUCAGCCCCCUAAGUAGCAGGGACUAUAGGCGAGUGCUACCACGCCUGGCUAAUUUUUAAAAUUUUUUGUAGAGAUUGGAGAGGGGGGCAGUCUCACUAUGUUGCCCAGGCUGGUCUCGAACUCCUGGCCUCAAGCAGUCCUCCCACCUUGGCCUCCCACAACAUUACAGGCAUGAGCCACUGUGUCUGGCCCCCCUUCCAGGGACUAUUAGGCCAGCUUUCAUACUGGGCUUAAUUCCACAGGGAAACCCACUUCUAGAAUUAUCCCACCUGAGGGUGAGGAAGCUGGGGUAUUUAUACUCCCCAAAGGCAUUGGCCGAGGGCUGGUCCUGUGUGUGUGUGUGUGUGUGUGUGUGUGUGUUCGUGUGUGUGUCCUGGCAUUUCUAGCUGUGUGUGUGUGUGUGUGUGUGUGUCCUGGCAUUUCUAGCUGUGUGUGUGUGUGUGUGUGUGUGUGUGUCCUGGCAUUUCUAGCUGUGUGUGUGUGUGUGUGUGUGUGUCCUGGCAUUUCUAGCUCUGUGUGUGUGUGUGUGUGUGUGUGUGUCCUGGCAUUUCUAGCUGUGUGUGUGUGUGUGUGUCCUGGCAUUUCUAGCUGUGUGUGUGUGUGUGUGUGUGUGUGUGUGUGUGUCUCCUGGCAUUUCUAGCUGAAAGGUCCAAAGGAAAAGGGUGGUCUCUGGGGAAGCCUCAGCUACCUCAGCAACACCGUGGGUCUGAGAGGGACAGCAUGGAGGGCUAAGAUCAGAUUCCUGACCUUCAAGAGCUUACAGUGUUUUGGGUAGACAAAAAAUGAAUGUACACUGUACACAGGAGAAGUUAAAGCCGAUACAGACAUCACAGAAUGCUCAUUUGAAAGUUAAGUGAAAAUGGCUGGGCGCAGUGGCUCAGGCCUAUUAUCCCAACACUGGGAGGCUGGGGCGGGUGGAUCAUCUGAGGUCGGGCAUUCGAGACCAGCCUGGCUAAUAUGGUGAAACCCUGUCUCUGGUAAAAGUACAGAAUUAACCAGGUAUGGUUGCAGAUGCCUGUAGUCCCAGCUCCUCAGGAGGCCGAGGCAGGAGAAUCGCUUGAACCCAGGAGGCGGAGGUGGCAGAGCCAAGAUGGCACCACUGCACUCCACCCUGGGCAACAGAGCAAGACUCUGUCUGAAAAAAGAAAAAAAAAGUUAAGUGGGCAUCGUGGUCCCUGCUAGCCCUGGGCUGGCACAGCAGCCCUCUUCUGACCCUUCCUUAAAAGGCCAGUUACAGUUUCCACAUUUGCCCUUGCACCCUGUCAAAAUAUACUGAAGAGAUGUUUGGAAGAGUCCUCUCCUGCCAUGGAGAAUGGUGAGCAGACAGGAACGGCCCUCGCUGUGCUGAGGCCAGGCCUGUCCUCUGCUCUCCAUGGAGAGGAAGGGGCAGGAAAUACUCCAGUGCCAGUCACAGGACCUCGCUUGUGCCGCAGGGUAUUAAAGGCAGAGACAGAACAAGGGCAGCCACGGGGCUGGCAUCUCAUGUGCCCUCCGGGUCUACCACAGUGGCUGGGGCCUGGGGCACAGAGGAGUGUGAGAGUGCACUGGGCUGAGACGGUCGCUUAGCAGCACCUUCCAUGGCGGUGAGGGGCAGGGGCGGGGGCUGUGGUCAUCUCCCAGCCGUGAGGUAACAUUCUGGGAAAGUAGCUAAGAUGGUGAGCUUUGACACCAGAGCUGAAUUCAUCUCUUUCCCACCACAUGCUAGCAUUGUGGCCCCUGGCAGAUUGCUUCACCUCUCUGAGCCUUAGUUUCCUCAUCUGAAAACCGGACUGCAAAUUCCUACCUUAGUGCUGUGAGAAUCAAGUGCAAUGAGGCAUCUAGCAUGGCGCCUGGCACCCAGGAAACAAACUAUUUACGAGUUUUCAUCAGUGGUAUUUCAGGUUGAUGUGGCCACAUGUCUGCUAGAGAGACUGUCCCGAGUAAUGGUGUAGACCUUACCUCCUGGAAGGGUCAGCUUCACAAACGAAAUCUGGCUUCAGUGGCUGGCCAAGAGAUAGAAUUCACACACAGAGAACAAAUGACGGGGGCCCGGAGCAGGAGAGAGUGGAGCAGGAAGGAAGCCCGGGCCCUGAAGGCCGGUGCUUAACGUAUAAUGAUAGAAAGCAGGUGGGGUGAAGGUUCCCGGAACACACAAGUAGCUUCAACUCAGAACACCUUGGGUUCAAAGGUUGCAAAUCUUCCUCACACCCAGGCUGUAGCAGUGAGGACUCCUUCAGGGCAAGAAACGAACCACAGUGAAAACCGCCUUACAGACCAAGGGGAAUGGUUGACUUUUUUUUUCUUUUCUUUUUUUUUUUUUUUUUGAGACGGAGUUUCACUCUUGUCACCCAGGCUGGAGUGCAAAGCACCAUCUUGGCUCACCACAACCUCCGCCUUCUGGGUUCAAGUAAUUCUCCUGUCUCAGCCUCCUGAGUAGCUGGGAUUACAGGCAUGUGCCACCACGCCCAGCUAAUUUUUGUAGUUUUAGUAGAGAUGGGGUUUCACCAUGUUGGCCAGGCUGGUCUAGAACUCCUGACCUCAAGUGAUCCACUCACCUCGGACUCCCAAAGUGCUGGGAUUUACAGGCGUGAGCUACCACGCCUAGCUGGAAUGGUUGACUUAUAAAGCCAUCAGUCCAGGGUUGCCUGUGGCUUCAGUCAUGGCUGGAUCCAGGAGGUCACACUGUGUCAUCAAAAUGUCUCUCUCCAUAUUUCACCUCUGCCUCCUCCAUAUCAGCUUUAUGUUCAGGCAGGUUCUCAUCACAGGAUGACAAAGACAGCCACUGACAUCCUUAUAAUUUUGUAAGGAAAAGAGAGUUACUCCUCUGUCCCUAUCCAGUGUCCGUAUCAAUCCCAAGAAGGUCUCUGGCCUGGCAGGGGUCAUAUGUCCAUCACUGGACUAAUCGUAGCAGCCAGGCGAAUACAGUGUUUGAUGGCUACAGAGACCUAGAACGUGGAGCGGGGCAGGACAUCCCAGCAGCCAGGUGAAUGCAGUGUUUGAUGGCUACAGAGACCUAGAACGUGGAGCGGGGCAGGGCAGCCCAACAGGACGCAUGAGCUAAACAGAUUGUUACAGAGUCUAUCCAGAAUCUGGCUGGGUGCAGUGGCUCAUGCCUGUAAUCCCAGCACUUUGGGAGGCCAAGGCAGGAGGAUCACUUAAGGUCAGGAGUUUGAAACCAGCCUAGCCAACAUGGUGAAACCCUGUCUCUACUGAUAAUACAAAAAUUAACCAGCAUGGUGGCACGCACCUGUAGUCCCAGCUACUUGGGAGGCUAAGGUGGGAGAAUCACUUGAACCUGGGAGGCAGAGGCUGCCGUGAGCUGAGAUCACGCCACUUGCACUCCAGCCUGGUCAACAAAGCGAGAUUCCAGCAAAAAAAAAAAGAAAGGAAGGAAGGAAGGAAAGAAAGAAAGGGAAAGGAAGGAAAGGAAGGAAGGAAGGAAAAGAAAGAGAAAGAAAGAAAAAGAAUGUAUCCAGAAUGUCUCUGUCUCUCUCUCUCCUCUCUUUGAGACAGGGUCUGGUUCUGUCACAGAGGCUGGAGUGCAGUGGCAUGAUCUAGGCUUACCGCAACCUCCACCCCGUAAGCUCAAACGAUCCUCCCCCUUCAGCUUCCUGAGUAGCUGGGACUACAGGCGCACACCACUAUGACUGGCUAAUUUUUGUAUUUUUUGGUAGAGAUGGGAUUUUGUCAUGUUUCCCAGGCUAGUCUCAAACUCCUGAGCUCAAGGGAUCGGCCCGCCUCAGCCUUCCAAAGUGCUGGGAUUACAGGCAUGAGCCACUGUGCCCGGCCAAUCCAGAGUCUGUGUAGAAUAUAGAGUGAUUCCCUAAGCGACGACAAGUAGAACAGGUUUGUCCAUUGCCUUCCAAAUGAAGAAUGAUUCCUUUUAAUUUUCACUUUUUAAAUGUUUUAUACCCCAUCCAAUGACCUAUCAAGAAUGAUUCAUUUUUGGUGAGGCGCCGUGGCUCAUGCCUGUAAUCCCAGCACUUCGGGAGGCUGAGGCAAGUGGAUUGCUCAAGUCCAGGAGUUAAGAGACCAGCCUAGGCAACAUAGCAAAACCCCAUCUCUACAAAAUAUACAAAAAUUAUCCCAAGUAGUCCCAGCUACUUGGGAGCCUGAGGUAGGAGGAUCGCUUGAGCCUGGGAGGCAGAGGUUGCAGUGAGCCAAGAUUGUGCCACUGCACAAUCAGCCUGGGUGACAGAGCAAGACCCUGUCUCAAAAAAAAAGAUAUAUAUUUUUAAAAGCCUCUGACCAACGGUCAUGGGAGUGGCUCACAGGGCUUGAGUGCAUCUCAAUUGACCUGAAUUGACUACAUGCUUAUCCCCAAGACUACAGACCCUUGGCCAUUGCUAUGGAAUCCAUAAAGACAAACAAUGCUCUGUAAUCAUGGGCCCGUGAGUUGUUUUGGAGCAGAGUGUGGCAACCUUCAGCACUGUUCAGUAAUAACAUUUGGGGUUACGAUUUGCACCUGGUUUUGGUGGCACCUGAGUUUCCACCUUUAAAGCUAGUCACGUAGCUAGAAUGUGCCCACAUGACCAACUCAGAAUAGAAGACCCCCAGCACGAGAAGACUCUGGGUUUCCUGGCACCGAGAUGCUUCGUACACACACAGGUAGUGGUUUGAGACUCAGGAACAAGGCGCUCCUGCGUGAGCCUCGUGAACAUCCACUGUGGGCCCCACAGGAAGACAAGCUCAGGGAUGUGGCCGCCUUUGUGCGGUUGGCGUGGUAAAUGGCCCCCAAGGAUCUCUGCCUCCUGGUAUUCAUGCUCGUCUCUUGAAUGCGGGUUGAACCUGUUGGCUCUUUCUAGUGAACAGAAUAUGGCAAAAGUGAUGGGAUGUCACUUCCAAGAGGAAGUUACAAAAAGAGAUUGCGUUCAGGAGGAGGAAGAGAAGCAAUGGGAUGAAUAGCCUUGGAAGAUAGAGAUCAUGUCUCCCUCCAGAGCAAAGGGCAGAUUAGCUUCAAUGAUGACAGAAGAUCCCGGUUCCCGGGCUCAGAGCUCCGCUGCUGUAACGUAAGCCCUUCUGUCCUCAUGUCACCUAGAGCCUCUUCCUGUCACCCUGUGGGAAGUGAUUCUGAGGAAAGCAGCACAAUUGCAGACACUCUGGCUACUGCUUUGCUGUGACUAAUAAACAUCCUUUGUCUUGUCUCUGG
Gorilla gorilla gorilla (western lowland gorilla) is the source of this 5194-nucleotide long non-coding RNA. RefSeq lists it as uncharacterized. NCBI's taxonomy places the organism in Eukaryota, Metazoa, Chordata, Mammalia, Primates, Hominidae. The record is from RefSeq and is a predicted model, not a curated record. The transcript is spliced from 2 exons.